GACGAACGCUGGCGGCGUGCUUAACACAUGCAAGUCGAACGGAAAGGCCCUGCUUUUGUGGGGUGCUCGAGUGGCGAACGGGUGAGUAACACGUGAGUAACCUGCCCUUGACUUUGGGAUAACUUCAGGAAACUGGGGCUAAUCCCGGAUAGGAGCUCCUGCUGCAUGGUGGGGGUUGGAAAGUUUCGGCGGUUGGGGAUGGACUCGCGGCUUAUCAGCUUGUUGGUGGGGUAGUGGCUUACCAAGGCUUUGACGGGUAGCCGGCCUGAGAGGGUGACCGGCCACAUUGGGACUGAGAUACGGCCCAGAAUCCUACGGGAGGCAGCAGUGGGGAAUAUUGAAAAAUGGGCGGAAGCCUGAUGCAGCAACGCCGCGUGCGGGAUGACGGCCUUCGGGUUGUAAACCGCUUUCGCCUGUGACGAAGCGUGAGUGACGGUAAUGGGUAAAGAAGCACCGGCUAACUACGUG
Molecule: ribosomal RNA, 468 nt
Filed under: uncultured bacterium
Lineage: Bacteria
Description: partial 16S ribosomal RNA
Rfam family: Bacterial small subunit ribosomal RNA
Source: RNAcentral